Molecule: small nucleolar RNA, 139 nt
Organism: Ornithorhynchus anatinus (platypus)
Lineage: Eukaryota; Metazoa; Chordata; Mammalia; Monotremata; Ornithorhynchidae
Source: RefSeq, a predicted model, not a curated record
CCCCUCUCAGGAUGGCACCUGGAGAGUUUUCAGUACUCUACCAGUCUCGGCUACGGGUGGGAGAGUCAAGCGGAGGCCUGUCCGUUCCAUUCCUAGCGUGGCCAGUGGCUAGCGAGUGGAAGGCUAAUCUGCUACAUGU